Sitophilus oryzae (rice weevil) is the source of this 1849-nucleotide RNA transcript. RefSeq lists it as uncharacterized. The record is from RefSeq and is a predicted model, not a curated record. NCBI's taxonomy places the organism in Eukaryota, Metazoa, Arthropoda, Insecta, Coleoptera, Curculionidae. The transcript is spliced from 2 exons.
CAUAUAAAGUCAUGUAAUUAUCUCUGUAUGUUUAAUUAAUAAAUAUCGUCUUACUGAGGCUUAUCCAUUAGUAAAGUACGAAACAUGGUGUCAGGUGUGUAAAAUAGGCAUAGGGAAACGAGAAAAAGAAAAAGAGAAAGCUGAAACACAAAAAGUUCCACUCUAGUCUCGCUAGAUAGCCCCCUAGAAAGAAGACUAUACAAAGUAAGAUGGAAUAUAAAGCACCAGAGCAGUUUUGUGUUGCAGAUUUUGUAGCAUGGCCAAAAUGGAAACAAAAAUUCAAUAUAUUUUUAUUAGCAUCAGGAAAAAAUAAAGAGGAAGAAGAUGUUAAAAUAGCGGUAUUUUAACACUUUUCCAACAGAAAAGGUAAAAACUAUUGAAGAUGUUCUAAAAUGUUUUGAUGAAUAUUUUUUACCAAAGAAAAAUGUUACUAUGGAAACAUUUAACUUUAAUAACAUUUGUCAAAAAGAAAAUCAAAGUAUUGAUUCUUUUAUAACUGAAUUAAAAAGACAAGCAGCAAACUGUGAAUUUAUUUGUUCAAAUGGUACUUGUAGAAAAUCGUAUGAAGAAUAAAUGUUAAAAGAUAGAGUAAUUUUAGGACUUAGCAAUAAACAGAUACAACAAAGGUUGAUUAGAGAAAAUGAAAUGUCAUUAACAAAAAUUCAAGAAUAUUGUAAAUCUAUAGAAUUAUCACAGCAACAUAUUAAAUUGUUGAGCCCAAAUGAAGAAAACAUUAAUGCCGUAGAAAUUACUUUUAAAUGUAGAAGAUGUGGUUAUAAACAUACUAAAGGAAGAUGCCCAGCAUUUCAUAAAACCUGUGUAGUUUGUAACAAGGGUCAUUUUGCAAAAAUGUGCAAAUCAAAAGUUGAAGAUACAAUUCCAAUUCAAUCUAAGAAAAAUGAAGUUGAAGAGAGUGAACGACAAGAAGAUAGAAAUAUAAAAAACAAGAUUGAAGUAAAAAAUGAUCAAGUAAAAAUAAAUAAUUUAGUUGAACCUGUACAAGGUAUUGAUAACAUUUUAUUUAUGAACAGAAAGACAGUAAUAUUAAUUCAAGUUGGUAUCAAAAAAUUAAUAUAUGUAAUAAAAUUAUUAAUUUUAAACUUGAUACUGGGGCUGAAUCAAGUAUUUUGCCAGUAAAAUAUUUACAUAUGUUAAAUAUAGAUAAAAGCAGUAUUGCACCAUCAACAUGUAUAAUAUUAUCAUAUGGAAAUUUUAAAUCUAAAACCAUAGGAAAAAAUACUUUAAAUUGUAAUUAUAAAGAUAUAUCUAGUAAGAUUUCAUUCUUACUAGUAGAUUUUGAAUCAGAAUCAAUUUUAGGUUUAAUUGAUUGUAUAAAAUUAAAAUUAAUUUGUCGUUUAGAUACUAUUGAUGAAAAUUUUGAAACUUGUUUAUCAAAAGACAAAAAUGAUAUUUAUAAAAAUUAUAAUGAAAUUUUUAAUGGACUAGGAUCAAUGCCUGGAUAUGUGGAUAUUAAAUUAAAACCUAAUGCUAUACCAAGAACAUUAUCCAAUACCGAAAUGUGAGGACAUUUUUAGUAAACUUGAAGGCAAGACCAUUUUCUCCGUCAUUGACAUGAAGGAUGGGUUUUGGCAGAUUCAGUUAACUGAAGAAAGUUCCAAACUGUGUACCUUCAAUACGCCAUUUGGUAGAUAUAAGUUUAACAGAGUACCCUUUGGUUUAAAUUCUAUUCCUGAAAUAUUUCAAAGAAAAAGUAUAGAAAUUUUUGGAGAUAUACCUAACGUAAAUAUAUAUUUUGAUGAUUUAAUUGUUAGUGGAAUUAACGAAUAUGAACAUGAUAGAGCUUUUAAAAUGGUAUUAAAUAGAGCAUUAAAAUAUAAUGUUAAAUUUA